UUCAGUUUCCUGCCAUUUGUUUUUUUAAGUGCUAGAUCUGAAUUUAAUCUUAAUCUUUUACUGCUUAUUCUUUUUGAAUGUUAAUUAGGUUGUGAUCUAUUUCUUCGUGUCGUGGUGCGAUCCUUGCAAAUUCCUAGAAGAAGAGAUUCACGCCUAGCCUGUAAAGGAUGCAGCAUAGGAGUUUCAGGUAGCAUCUGGAUUUUAAGGUUGUCGUAUUAGCAGGGUCACUAUCUUCGUUCUUCCACUAAAGUCUUUUCAUCUUCAGAUGAGUCUUUUCUUUCUUUCAUCACAAAUGCUGUUGUUGUUUGGGGGAUUCUUGAGCACCGCAGUCUGAUCAACAUUGUGGAUGAAGAUUUUAACCUGUUCCCCUUUGGAUGUCUAUAUUUUCAAUAGUAUCAAUUUGUUAAUUAAUAUUGUCAAGUGAAAUUAACAUGAAUCUAGUUGAAAAAAAUGGAAAGAAAGCUUAUAUUAAGUACUGUAAUAUAAUCAAUUAAUUAACAAUUUAAUUAAAU
This 512-nucleotide small RNA is filed under the name Vigna angularis var. angularis. RNAcentral's name for it is "Non-protein coding transcript". The record is from RNAcentral. Lineage: Eukaryota; Viridiplantae; Streptophyta; Magnoliopsida; Fabales; Fabaceae.